CUAGUUCCGGUGAGAGUGGCGCACGGGUGCGUAACGCGUGAGCAACCUGCCCAUAUCAGGGGGAUAGCCCGGAGAAAUCCGGAUUAACACCGCAUGCGACGCCGGGACGGCGUCCUCCUGGCGUCAAAUAUUCGUAGGAUAUGGAUGGGCUCGCGUGAGAUUAGCUAGUUGGUGGGGUAACGGCCCACCAAGGCGACGAUGUCUAGGGGCUCUGAGAGGAGAAUCCCCCACACUGGUACUGAGACACGGACCAGACUCCUACGGGAGGCAGCAGUAAGGAAUAUUGGUCAAUGGGGGCAACCCUGAACCAACCAUGCCGCGUGCAGGACGACUGCCCUAUGGGUUGUAAACUGCUUUUGCCGGGGAAUAAACCCCACUACGUGUAUUGGGCUGAACGUACCCGGAGAAUACGGAUCGGCUAACUCCGUGCCAGCAGCCGCGGUAAUACGGAGGAUCCGAGCGUUAUCCGGAUUUAUUGUGUUUAAAGGGUGCGUAGGCGGCACUUUAAGUCAGGGGUGAAAGACGGCAGCUCAACUGUCGCAGUGCCCUUGAUACUGAAGUGCUUGAAUGCGGUUGAAGACGGCGGAAUGAGACAAGUAGCGGUGAAAUGCAUAGAUAUGUCUCAGAGCACCGAUUGCGAAGGCAGCUGUCUAAGCUCGUUAUUGACGCUGAUGCACGAAAGCGUGCGGAUCGAACAGGAUUAGAUACUCUGAUAGUCCACGCUCCUAAACGAUGAUAACUCGAUGUAUGCGAUCUACCGUAAGCGUCCUCGCGAAAGCGUUAAGCUAUCCAACCUGGGGAGUACGC
Molecule: ribosomal RNA, 807 nt
Filed under: Sphingobacterium sp.
Lineage: Bacteria; Pseudomonadati; Bacteroidota; Sphingobacteriia; Sphingobacteriales; Sphingobacteriaceae
Description: bacterial SSU rRNA
Rfam family: Bacterial small subunit ribosomal RNA
Source: RNAcentral